This 76-nucleotide transfer RNA is filed under the name Chthonomonas sp. Its description in RNAcentral is "tRNA-Pro". It matches the Rfam family "tRNA". Rfam says of the family: Transfer RNA (tRNA) molecules are approximately 80 nucleotides in length. Their secondary structure includes four short double-helical elements and three loops (D, anti-codon, and T loops). Further hydrogen bonds mediate the characteristic L-shaped molecular structure. tRNAs have two regions of fundamental functional importance: the anti-codon, which is responsible for specific mRNA codon recognition, and the 3' end, to which the tRNAs corresponding amino acid is attached (by aminoacyl-tRNA synthetases). tRNAs cope with the degeneracy of the genetic code in two manners: having more than one tRNA (with a specific anti-codon) for a particular amino acid; and 'wobble' base-pairing, i.e. permitting non-standard base-pairing at the 3rd anti-codon position. The record is from RNAcentral. Lineage: Bacteria; Bacillati; Armatimonadota; Chthonomonadia; Chthonomonadales; Chthonomonadaceae.
CGGGGAAUAGCGAAGCCAGGUCUAUCGCGCCUGUUUUGGGAACAGGAGACCGCCGGUUCGAAUCCGGCUUCCCCGA